GAUGAACGCUGGCGGCGUGCCUAAUACAUGCAAGUCGAACGAAACUUCUUUAUCACCGAGUGCUUGCACUCACCGAUAAAGAGUUGAGUGGCGAACGGGUGAGUAACACGUGGGCAACCUGCCCAAAAGAGGGGGAUAACACUUGGAAACAGGUGCUAAUACCGCAUAACCAUAGUUACCGCAUGGUAACUAUGUAAAGGGUGGCUAUACUACCGCUUUUGGAUGGGCCCGCGGCGCAUUAGCUAGUUGGUAGGGUAAAGGCUUACCAAGGCAAUGAUGCGUAGCCGAAUUGAGAGGUUGAUCGGCCACAUUGGGACUGAGACACGGCCCAAACUCCUACGGGAGGCAGCAGUAGGGAAUCUUCCACAAUGGGCGAAAGCCUGAUGGAGCAACGCCGCGUGGGUGAAGAAGGUCUUCGGAUCGUAAAACCCUGUUGUUAGAGAAGAAAGUGCGUGAGAGUAACUGUUCACGUUUCGACGGUAUCUAACCAGAAAGCCACUGCUAACUACGUG
Molecule: ribosomal RNA, 512 nt
Filed under: uncultured bacterium
Lineage: Bacteria
Description: partial 16S ribosomal RNA
Rfam family: Bacterial small subunit ribosomal RNA
Source: RNAcentral